Girardinichthys multiradiatus is the source of this 1208-nucleotide long non-coding RNA. RefSeq lists it as uncharacterized. The record is from RefSeq and is a predicted model, not a curated record. The transcript has 2 exons. NCBI's taxonomy places the organism in Eukaryota, Metazoa, Chordata, Actinopteri, Cyprinodontiformes, Goodeidae.
GUUUGUUUCGUCAACUUCCCUGUUCGUCACUACCCUCAUCUGAGUUCAGCCUAGUUACCCUGCUCUUAGUUUAAGUUUUCUAGUUGGAUCUGGACACCUGGGACAACAUUCUUCUAUACUCUGCCUGCCUUCCAGGUUCUGAUGAUGAGGCUGCCUCUUCCAUCUUCACAGACAUGAUUGCGCGACACAAGUUGUUAUUCCCUUGACUGGCCUGGGCCUGAUUCAAAGGCAAGGCGGCACUCGGGGUGGCAAAAGGAGCCCCGAUCAAUGUCAAGGAGAAGAAAGUGGUCUGGACUUGCCACAGUGGAAGCACCAUGCUGCUACUUUCUAUCCCUCUCCACCAAAAAAAAAAUCGAGAUUCAAUCAUUUUCCCAGAGAGAAAAUGCGUCCUGCUUUCUGCAGGCUGUGAAUAGGCUGUGACUGGUUACAACACAAAGGGUUGAGGGCACAGGCAAUGACUGCAUGCCACCCGGCGGCAUCUACAGCAGCCAACUGCCUCGCCGUUUGAUUUUGGGAGCGCAGUUGCUAUGGUGACCACACUAUUUGAUUGUGGACGAGAUAAUUUGCAUGAAGCAUUUGCCUGAUUCUGGAAAGAGGAUCGUUUAAAGCAAAAGCAUGGGACACAAAUGGCCUUUUGUGCAGCCGGAGGAAAGCCCAAAUGUACAUACUGAUAUUACUGCUAGCUCACGUUUGUUUUUGACAUGUGAGUCAAAGUUUGAUGAUUUUGUAAGUCAUGUCAACAUGAGCUUUCUUUUCAGGUCCUUUUAUUUCUAGCCCGGCUUAGAAACGUCUGAUGUCUCUGACAGGGGAGGGGAUUAAAACAAGGAAUGUGACAGUUCAAGGCCAUGUAAUUCACACCUCUGUGUGACUUCACUUCAGUCAAUUGUUGUUAAUCUGUCUUUCAAACUCUUGAAUGGGCUUUACUAUUUGCCCAAACUCGUUUGGCUAGAGAUUAUCCCCACUGCUUGUGCACCUUUUUGCUAACACGCUUUUUCCUUCUGCUAAAUUUCCCAUUAAUAUCCUUUGAUACACCACUCUGACUAGCCAUUUUCUGUAGCAAUCAACUUUUUAUAGUAGCAUACCCUUUCUCAUGACUGUGUUAGCCAUAAUAAUUUAAUAUGUAAUAUUUACAUUUUCUGAGAAAGUUUCCCUUUUUAUUAGCUGUAAGCCAAAAUAACCAGGAUUAAAAUAAAUGAAUGCUUGGAAUA